RNAcentral lists this ribosomal RNA (397 nucleotides) under bacterium enrichment culture. RNAcentral describes it as "bacterial SSU rRNA". It matches the Rfam family "Bacterial small subunit ribosomal RNA", at positions 521 to 916 of the family's 1533-position model. The record is from RNAcentral.
UAAUACAGAGGGUGCAAGCGUUGUUCGGAAUUAUUGGGCGUAAAGCGCGUGUAGGCUGCGACGUAUGUCGGGUGUGAAAGCCCUCGGCUCAACUGAGGAAGUGCGCCCGAAACUACGUUGCUCGAGUGCUGGAGAGGGUAGCGGAAUUCCCGGUGUAGAGGUGAAAUUCGUAGAUAUCGGGAGGAACACCAGUGGCGAAGGCGGCUACCUGGACGGACACUGACGCUGAGACGCGAAAGCGUGGGGAGCAAACAGGAUUAGAUACCCUGGUAGUCCACGCUGUAAACGAUGGGAACUAGGUGUGGCGGGUGUUGACCCCUGCCGUGCCGAAGCUAACGCAUUAAGUUCCCCGCCUGGGAAGUACGGCCGCAAGGUUAAAACUCAAAGGAAUUGACGG